GCUGAGCUCAGUCACGAGAGCUUGUAACCCAUGUGGGGGCGUCUAAGGUGGUGUGGAUGUUUGGUGUGGACUGUGGGCCUGGGCUUGUGUUGUAACAUUGCCGGCCUGCCCGUUCCAAGUUGGUAGUGGGCUGGGUGACCUGGGCGAAAGCUCCGGUCUCUCAGGCCCUGAAGCGGCAGGCACCACGUUAGGCUGGUUUCACAGAGCAGCGUUCACUGCCCGCUUCCAACGGUGGAAGGAUAACAGACCGCUGCACCAUGGGCCCGCUCUGGCACAUGGUCCCUCUAUAACAGACCAUCAUCUUU
RNAcentral lists this signal recognition particle RNA (305 nucleotides) under Hordeum vulgare subsp. vulgare (domesticated barley). RNAcentral's name for it is "Plant signal recognition particle RNA". It matches the Rfam family "Plant signal recognition particle RNA". The record is from Rfam by way of RNAcentral. Lineage: Eukaryota; Viridiplantae; Streptophyta; Magnoliopsida; Poales; Poaceae.